GGAAAUACCCAUAGAAGUUCUACAGAAAUUUGAAUUGGCUGACCUAGCAUAUAGAAUUAUUAUACGUUUUUUAUGUCCUUUUCAAUUUCAACCAAAAAUCGGCUCCAAAAGAAAUCGAUCUUCACCCUUAAAAUGAACUGGUAGAAUUUUCCCUAAAUCAUUUCAUUUUCCCCCCAAAGUAAGAGCAAAACUGUUGCCCUUCAUCGUUGAAUUUGUGGGCCGACAUCUGGACCAUUGACUGGCGCCGUCCUUCUAAUGUAGUGUGAAGACAGCAGCACAUCGAAACCCAACAUGAAAAUAGUAUUUGAAGACAGCGCUGAUAUCUACGUGUCUGAGCUAGGCAAAGUUAUUUUGUUAUUUACUGUUUUAUGCUAAUUUAUGGUUAAACUGUCUUAGACUUGUUUACAUGAUUUGUGUGUUUUUUCUUCUUUGUUUUGACAUAUAUUUGAAGUAUAUUGAUUAUGUAGC
This 468-nucleotide long non-coding RNA is filed under the name Olea europaea (common olive). RNAcentral describes it as "long non-coding RNA (OEUR_LNC013246)". Lineage: Eukaryota; Viridiplantae; Streptophyta; Magnoliopsida; Lamiales; Oleaceae. The record is from RNAcentral.